CCCUCCCCCAGUGGACCAUGUCUUAACAGAACUCUACACUAUGACCCGUCCAUCUUGGGUGGCCCUGCAUGGCAAGUCUCUUAACUUUGUUGAAGUUAUACAAGCCCCUUUGCCAUGAGAAGGCUAUGAUCCAGGAAGGGGACUGUUAAACGUGGUGGGAUCCCAUUCCACACCACACUUUGGGAAAUUUUUUUGGUCAUUAUGAUAUAACUUGCCUUCUAGAAUCCUUGCCUUAUACUACAAAAUUCUUAUGGUGUGGUUUUUGUUCUCAUGGACUCAAGAUGGUGCCUCUAUGUCCUCUAGACACUACACAAUCAUUCCAGGCAAGAGGAAGAGAUAAGGACAACACUUUAAAAACUACACUCAACCAACAGAUGCAGGUCGGGUCUCACCUUCUUGAUAUGGGUCUCCCAACAGCCUCCCGGCACAGCAACCUCUCCAGACAGAACCAUGCUUGCCUGAACCACUUUCUUUCACUAUAUAAUCAUAUGGGACCUCUUUUGAUUUACCUGUUUAGACAGCAAUGUCUAUCUGUUCAACGGCCCUGCGGGCAGGCAGGAUCUACAUUUCAUGUCUUUUAUCUCCACCCCCUGGCUAUUGGACCAUUCUUUCUUUUCUUUUUACCUCCCUUCCACAAAUAUCUAUUAGCAAGCUGCCUGUUUGGUCAAGUACUUAUCUGCUAGACACUGGAGAAAAAACAAAUUUGAAUAAACUAUUGUCUCUGAGUCUGAGUGAGAAACAAAUUUGAAUGAACCAUGAGUCCUUUUUAAGAUUUUUCCCCUCCUUACCUCUCCAACCUAACCUCAACAAUUUUCUUUUAGCUCUAGACAGACUAAAAGAGUAAAUUCUCUAAAUACACUAUGUCCUCCCAUCUCCAGGGUACUGAGUUGUUUCCUGUGUCUAAGAAUGCUUUGCCCACUCUUAUUCUGUCUUUGCUCCAGUUUGUAUCUGAAACAACACCGACUCAAUCCUUCUGGUCUCAGACUGGUAUUUCUCCAGGAGCCCUCCCUGAUUCCCAAAGUGGAGUACCCUUUUUAUGGUCUCCCCUGUACUGUUCCCAACAUUGCACUUUCAAAAAGGAGUUACGGUUGCCUGUUUAUCUGUGCAUAUCACUGAAAUCCGUUAUCUAUUAGUACAGGUAUGUGUUGCUGUUGUGUAUUAGGUAUGAGUCACGUGCAUGUUCAUGGUAUUUUUGGUACCUAGCAGGUAUUUUUUACAAGGUACUGAAUGAAUGAA
RNAcentral lists this long non-coding RNA (1236 nucleotides) under Capra hircus (goat). RNAcentral describes it as "lncRNA (ENSCHIG00000000903.1)". Lineage: Eukaryota; Metazoa; Chordata; Mammalia; Artiodactyla; Bovidae. The record is from RNAcentral.